AUUGCAUUUACUCUAAUUAACGCUCCUGAGGAGAGGGCUAGAAAUGCCCUGCUCAGCACCACAUAAUAUAAAAACAGAUUAAGGAUAAUGCCCAUUGUUUCUUCAAGGGUGAAGUUUUUCUUUAUCUGUUGUAUUGAACAACAGCAAAAGCUGCUCUUAAUCUCUAGGUUGAGCUUCAGAGUCAGAGAUGAAAUGCUACAAGAAGCGUUGGCUGGUGGCCUCAGUUUUUCUGAAGAAUAUUCCUGCAGCAUGCUUAAGGACCAAAUGGGUGAGGUUCUUCUGAUCAGAGGUAGGUGUGUGCCCCACCAGCUCCUCCAGCUAUGCUUCCAUUCUCCUCGCAGAAUAGGAAUAGGAUUUCUCAGAGCCAGACUUCACUGCUCUUUGAUUCAUCAUCUACAUUUGGCUGAUGAAACAUGCCUUCCUUAACUUUGAUGACUGCAGAGGUAUAAAGGUGGAGUGUACAUCUCAGAAGUAGGCAUCUACCAUACAGACAUCUGUAAUGUGUGCCCUACCUAUCUACAACUGAUUUGAUUAUUCCUCUUCCUUUCCCUUGGAAAACCACUGAAACACCAGCCAACAUGCAGGCCUGGGCCAGGAAGAGGAAAGCUCUUCAGAUGCUGUUCAUCACAUUUCUCCCCUUUGACACCUGGGACAUCAGCACUGUGAGCUGCCUUUCCUCAAGUUUUUAUUGCCUUUCAGCAUGGAACUGAAGUGAUUGUUCAUACACUUUAACAGGAAACAUAUAUGAACUCUGGAACGGACAGACCACAGCCUAGAGUAGAGAGACAAUCCAGAUAAAUGCUAUAGGGGGCAACAAUAGCAUACCUUUUAAUGGACUUGACUUGCAUACCUUGCAUUAUUUAUCCCUAUCUGCACAGGACAUCCUUGAGGAACACAAAACACUCUGGUUCUGAAAGCCCAGUUAUGCUAUCCAGGUUCUGUCCAGAAACCACGUCCUCAGUCUAGGGAUGGACCACUCUGACAUCCCAGAGAAACUGUGAAGCGGGAAUGGAACCUCACAGCAUCUGCAGAUUGCUCAGUGGCCAAAAUAAUAUGAACAUCUUUGAGGAAAUGAGAAGGAAGGGAAGGCAUCCCCACUGUCUUCCUCAUCAAUGGUGUUUUUUAGAGCAAUGUGAGUGUUGUCUUUUUUUGUUUGUUUGUUUUGAAUCGAAUCCCAGAAAGGUAGGAAAUGGAGUUGAAAAGUAAGUGCUUGCUUAUCUUUGGAUUUCAGCCUGGAGGUGUAUCUUCUCCACCUUAUUUGUAUUUCUCCUUUUUCCACAGCUUUCUCCAGCCUCUCGAGUGGCAGAGGUAACUACCAGUUAAAGGAAAUGUCAGCAGGUCAUUUAAUGACUUUCCCUCUCUUCUAAGUGUUUGGCUCUUAAUUAUACAUAGAAAGAUACACAAGAGAUUAUAACAAGAGGAAUAGCAGGCAGCCAAAACCAAACUAAUUUAUUUAUUGCAUGUGACAUAUGGCAACAUAAGACAAGAUCUCUGGCUUAUGGGCAUUUUGGCAAGACACAGGCUGGAUCCUAUGGCAACGCCUUGUUUGUACAGCUUCCAUUUCUGCUGCUCAGUCCUGUUUUUUCUUUCAUGUCUCAUCUGUAGGCCUUCAAAGAGAGGACCUUAACCUUCCUUGGCUGGUUUUAACUUAGACAUUGCUUAGGCAUAUGCCCAUGGGUAAGAACCAUCCUGCUUCAAGGAGAUACAGCGUCUUAGAAAGCACUUUUGCCUGAAGUGUAAAUGGAGACAGUGAUGUUUACCUCUUUUAUCCACCUCAAAGUGUAGUGUGAGGGAUAGAUAAUGUUUUAAAGUGCCAUCUAAUUGUUGAGUGUUUUUCUUGUCAUCGGGUAAAGAACACAAGAGCAGCCAGUCUGGCUCAGAUCACCCCUCAACUUCCAACAUGGCCAAGACACUUGCCUUUACCCUUGUAUAGCCUUCAAUUGUUUCCCAUUGAGCCAAAAUAACAAUAAAUGGUUGCUUAUUCCUUUAACUGCCA
This 1996-nucleotide long non-coding RNA is filed under the name Numida meleagris (helmeted guineafowl). Its description in RNAcentral is "lncRNA (ENSNMEG00000002249.1)". Lineage: Eukaryota; Metazoa; Chordata; Aves; Galliformes; Numididae. The record is from RNAcentral.